GACAGUGUGGUGUAGUGGUUUGAGCAUUGCACUAUGAUUCUGUAGGCCAGGGUUUAAAUCCCCACCCAGCCA
Non-coding RNA from Phrynosoma platyrhinos (Desert horned lizard), 72 nucleotides. The record is from the annotation of a GenBank genome assembly. NCBI's taxonomy places the organism in Eukaryota, Metazoa, Chordata, Lepidosauria, Squamata, Phrynosomatidae.